RNAcentral lists this ribosomal RNA (687 nucleotides) under uncultured fungus. Its description in RNAcentral is "eukaryotic LSU rRNA". The stretch from base 260 to 414 matches the Rfam family "5.8S ribosomal RNA". The record is from RNAcentral. Lineage: Eukaryota; Fungi.
UAGAGGAAGUAAAAGUCGUAACAAGGUUUCCGUAGGUGAACCUGCGGAAGGAUCAUUACCGAACCGUCGACACGAGCUGUUGCUGGCCUUUGAACGAGGGCACGUGCACGCUCUGUUUACACAUCCACCCACCCCUGUGCACCUCUUGUAGCUCUAUGGUCUGAGGAGGCUCUGUUUCCCUUCUGUAGUUCUACGUUUUUACACACACACGUUAACAAAGUCUUGUGGAAUGCACACCGCUUUCAACGCGAUACAAUACAACUUUCAGCAACGGAUCUCUUGGCUCUCGCAUCGAUGAAGAACGCAGCGAAAUGCGAUAAGUAAUGUGAAUUGCAGAAUUCAGUGAAUCAUCGAAUCUUUGAACGCACCUUGCGCCCUUUGGCUAUUCCGAAGGGCAUGCCUGUUUGAGUAUCAUGAACACCCUCAACUCUCAUGGUUUUCCGUGAUGAGCUUGGACUUGGGGGUUUUGCUGGCCUGCGGUCGGCUCCCCUUAAACGAAUUAGCUUGCCGGCGUUUGGCAGCAGCAUGGGUGUGAUAACCAUCUACGCUCGUGAUUGUCUGCAAAGGUACCCUCUGGUCGCGGGGGGUUCACCGGUGCUUCUAGAUGUCUCUCCUCAGCGAAGACAGCUGUUUGAAGUUUGAUCUCAAAUCAGGUAGGAUUACCCGCUGAACUUAAGCAUAUCAAUA